Cyprinodon variegatus (sheepshead minnow) is the source of this 395-nucleotide long non-coding RNA. RefSeq lists it as uncharacterized. The record is from RefSeq and is a predicted model, not a curated record. NCBI's taxonomy places the organism in Eukaryota, Metazoa, Chordata, Actinopteri, Cyprinodontiformes, Cyprinodontidae. The transcript is spliced from 4 exons.
AGGAGGCUGACAGCAACCUGAGGCAGAAAGAUGAUGAACUGCAGAAGAUCAUUGAGAGGCUAAACGAAACGACUGAAGAGCACAAGCAGCAGACUGUGCUACAUGAAUCUAAGAGUGAAACAGAAUCUUUGAUCAAGAAGAAUCAGGAGUUGGAGAAAGAAAUUACCCAACUGAAGAACAAGUAUGAGCAGCAGUCUGAUGCUGAAGCCCAGCAGGAGCUAAAGGAUGAACAGCAGGAGAGCAGUGAUGCUACAGAAAGUCCAAAGGAGCUGAAAACAGAACCGGAAAACGAGAACCAAAAGCAGAAUAAGGAGCAGCCUGAAAGGUUUCUGGUUGCUGAGGAGCUGAAAGUGGAGACUGAGAUUUCAGAGGGCAGGGACCUCAGGAAAGAGGUG